GAUGAACGCUGGCGGUAUGCUUAACACAUGCAAGUCGAACGGACUCUUCGGAGUUAGUGGCGGACGGGUGAGUAACGCGUGAGAAUCUGGCUUUGGGUUCGGGACAACCACUGGAAACGGUGGCUAAUACCGGAUGCGCCGAGAGGUAAAAGAGAAAUUGCCUGAAGAUGAGCUCGCGUCUGAUUAGCUAGUUGGUGAGGUAAAGGCUCACCAAGGCAGCGAUCAGUAGCUGGUCUGAUAGGAUGACCAGCCACACUGGGACUGAGACACGGCCCAGACUACUACGGGAGGCAGCAGUGGGGAAUUUUCCGAAAUGGGCGAAAGCCUGACGGAGAAAUACCGCGUGAGGGAAGAAGGGUCUUGGGUUGUAAACCUCUUUUCUUAGGGAAGAACAAAAUGACGGUACCGAAGGAAUCAGCAUCGGCUAACUCCGUG
This 435-nucleotide ribosomal RNA is filed under the name uncultured bacterium. RNAcentral's name for it is "partial 16S ribosomal RNA". It matches the Rfam family "Bacterial small subunit ribosomal RNA", at positions 28 to 507 of the family's 1533-position model. The record is from RNAcentral.